UACGGAGGAUCCGAGCGUUAUCCGGAUUUAUUGGGUUUAAAGGGUGCGUAGGCGGUCAGGUAAGUUAGAGGUGAAAGCUCGAUGCUCAACAUCGAAACUGCCUCUGAUACUGUCUGACUAGAGUGUAGUUGCGGAAGGCGGAAUGUGUGGUGUAGCGGUGAAAUGCUUAGAUAUCACACAGAACACCGAUUGCGAAGGCAUCUCACGAAUCCGCGAUUGACGCUGAUGCACGAAAGCGUGGGUAUCAAACAGG
RNAcentral lists this ribosomal RNA (253 nucleotides) under uncultured Rikenellaceae bacterium. RNAcentral describes it as "partial 16S ribosomal RNA". It matches the Rfam family "Bacterial small subunit ribosomal RNA", at positions 524 to 776 of the family's 1533-position model. The record is from RNAcentral. Lineage: Bacteria; Pseudomonadati; Bacteroidota; Bacteroidia; Bacteroidales; Rikenellaceae.